Ficedula albicollis (Collared flycatcher) is the source of this 4121-nucleotide long non-coding RNA. NCBI's taxonomy places the organism in Eukaryota, Metazoa, Chordata, Aves, Passeriformes, Muscicapidae. The record is from Ensembl.
GUGGGUGCAGGAUGGGAUCAAUCCCUGUGUGAGCAGGAUGGGAUGAAUCCCUGUGUGAGCAGGAUGGGAUCAAUCCCUGUGUGUGCAGGACAGAGUGAAUCCCUGUGGGUGCAGGAUGGGAUCAAUCCCUGUGUGAGCAGGAUGGGAUGAAUCCCUGUGUGAGCAGGAUGGGAUCAAUCCCUGUGUGUGCAGGACAGAGUGAAUCCCUGUGGGUGCAGGAUGGGAUCAAUCCCUGUGUGAGCAGGAUGGGAUGAAUCCCUGUGUGAGCAGGAUGGGAUCAAUCCCUGUGUGUGCAGGACAGAGUGAAUCCCUGUGGGUGCAGGAUGGGAUCAAUCCCUGUGUGAGCAGGAUGGGAUGAAUCCCUGUGUGAGCAGGAUGGGAUCAAUCCCUGUGUGUGCAGGACAGAGUGAAUCCCUGUGGGUGCAGGAUGGGAUCAAUCCCUGUGUGAGCAGGAUGGGAUGAAUCCCUGUGUGAGCAGGAUGGGAUCAAUCCCUGUGUGUGCAGGACAGAGUGAAUCCCUGUGGGUGCAGGAUGGGAUCAAUCCCUGUGUGAGCAGGAUGGGAUGAAUCCCUGUGUGAGCAGGAUGGGAUCAAUCCCUGUGUGUGCAGGACAGAGUGAAUCCCUGUGGGUGCAGGAUGGGAUCAAUCCCUGUGUGAGCAGGAUGGGAUCAAUCCCUGUGUGUGCAGGACAGAGUGAAUCCCUGUGUGUGCAGGAUGGGAUGUGCCUCUCCUGCUCCCACAAAAGCAGAGCAGGGGGACGAGCCAGCCUCUGCCAAGCACCGCAGCACUGUGGAACUGGGAGCAGGGAGCCACAGCUCAGAGAGGAGCCCCAGAAGAGCCCUCUCCUGCCCACAGGCUGCCCUGAAAUCACUCCCUUCCCCUCCUGGUGCUGCCAGCCCCCAGCUCCCAUCCCUGCAGCCAGCACAGCCCCAAGCUGUACUGUGUCAGCCCCAUCCUCCCCCCGGAGCAGCUGCCACAGCCUUAUCAGCCCUGGGCAGGCACAGCCCUGCCCUGUGCUGGGGCUAUCGGGGCUCACACACCCUGCUGGGCUGGGACAAACACUUUUCUGCCCAGUACCAGCAGCUCACAGCCCGGCCAGGGCUUUGCUGUGCCCGCACAGGAACCUCCCACCUGCACCCACAGGGACUCGCUGGCCCUGCACAGCUCCCCCUUCUCAGGCACUCGGCAAUUCCCCACCCAGAUGGAAAAAUAUGUUAAACAAACUGUACCUUGCAAAGGGUCUGCAGCCACAAAGGGAAUUUCUCUGUUUCUUCUGCCUUCUCCUCCUGCCUCCACUGACAGAGGUCAGAGCCCUUCCCAGCUUUGGCCAACAUCACAAAGAACCCAGCAGGCUCCCUCCAGGGUCUGGAAGAUCACAAUUAGGUCCUUGCAGAGGUGUCAAUCAGCUGAACAAGGAGACAGCCACAGACCUGCUGCUUUUGCACACGCAGAAAUGUUCCUUUCCCCAGUGACAUCCCCAGAGGUGACUCCAUGACAGUGCAGUGAAAGCCAACUUUUCACUAGAAACAGGAGGAGGGCUCAGGUUUUGCCACAUGCUGGCCAAAAAAAAAAGUGUUUAAUAAUAUUUCACCUUGAGUAUUGCAGAGGUGAGAGGAGCAGCAGCAGCAGGGUUUCCUGCUGUGGGAGAAGAUGCAAUCAACAGGGAGGGACUGGAGUGGCUUCUGCUGCAGAGUCUGGUUUUUCCUUCCCCAGGCAGCUUGUGUAGCACAGCAGAGGAUAAAAUGAGAAAUAUCCCCUUUUCUCCUUGUUUUGUAAGUGGGCAUGGGAGAGAGAAGGAAGGAGAGUCUGCGUGGGUUGUCUGCAAGAACAAAGGAGGAAGUUUUCCCCUUAAUUUUAGACAAUUUUUCAGCAAGUGCCAGACGUGAUGUAAGAAGGCUGGUGCUGCUGAAGCCUUGCUCAACUUGCCCCCCUGCAAAUCCUGAUGUUAAUAAAGCAUUGAAAAUGCUGAUUUCACUGAAGUUCUUCUGUUUGCUUCCCCUUUCUUCAGGGAAAGUGGAGGCUACAGCAGGAAACAAUCAUCAGCUCACAGCUGCUCCCACCCUUGGACUCCAGAUCGAUACAAGAGAAUCGGCUCACACAGAAAAAAUGCAAAAUAUUCUGCCUAGGCAACCUCAGAAAGAUCUGUAUCACUGUUAGAUGCUGGCUUUUCUCCCAAUAAAAGCUGAAAACAACAACCAGCCCCCAGGCACAGACUGGGGGUGCAGAGGAGUUGAACCUCACGUGGGGUGGUGAUGGCACUGCAGGUGCAGGGAGUGCUGGAGGCGAGUUAUUCACAGCUGCUGUCACCCCCAAACCCCACUGACAGGGAGCAUGGUCAGCUUGGAAACAGUCACUCAGCCCCUGAGCAGCACAAAGACUGUCUGGAGGAAGGAGGAUGUUAAAUUAGAUGCCCUUCUCCUUUUUUCCACUCCUGCUUCCCCUCUGGAUCUGAUGAAGAGGUGGCUUUUUGCUACAUCAGGGAAGUUGGUUGUGUUCCAGGCUGCAGGCAACAACACAGAGGACAGGACAGCACCCUCAGCCUGGCUCAGAGCCACCCAGGGUUGGCCUGGGUGAACAGAGGUUUGGACAGCAGGCAGGGAUUUGGGCUCUAAGAUGUUUCCUGCCAAUGGGCAGAAUCCUGGGAAAGGCAUCAGCAUCUUUUACACAGGCAAGAACCACUAUGGAACACUGGGAGUGGGAAAAACUGGCUUUGGAUACUGUUGGGUGCACAGGAUCUCCUGCUUCCUCCUGCUCUGCAAGUUCUAAACUAAUAAAAACCAGUCCUCACUGAUGAGCAUCAUCUUAGUGGGUCACUACAUUUCCAGCCAUCCAGGCAGAGAAAUGGGAUUUCUUCACGCCCUGGAUCUGCUGACAAACACGUUCCUGCCUUCCCCUGCAGUGCAGGGAGCCCUCCCUGCCCGAGGAGCAGCAAACACGACCUGCUGCUCACAGCUUGGGAGUGCUCAGCCUUUAAAUAUUAACUGUGUGUGGAGCUGCAGGCACCGUGGCACAGCCCCAAAUGCAGGUUUGUCAGAUCCAGUGCUCAGCAAUUAAUCACAGCCUCACUCCCUGCAGAGGCAGCAGCUCGGCUGGGACUGCUCUCCCUUCACAUCUCUGGGGGGAUUUUUGGAUUCCUCAUCCCGAGUCAUCUGCUGCCUGUUCACCGAGUCCAAGCUGAGCACUGGCUCUGCCAUGCAGCAGGAGCUGCUCCGGGUAUUGACAGUGAGCAGGGACUCCAGAAAAAAUGCUGUCUGUGGGAGCUGCACUCCUGCUGGAACCAGUGCCUUGCCUCUCAAGUGCAUGACAGCAAGCAGAGACAGGCAAUCCAAGAGCAUCUGAAGUUCCACUCCUGCUGGAACCAGUGCCUUGCCUCUCAGGUGCAUGACAGCAAGCAGAGACAGUCAAUCCAAGAGCAUCUGAAGUUAGGCACAAAUAAAACUACUGCAGAGCCUUGUGGGACUCGAUCUACCUGGGUCCUUCUUAUUUUUUAAUCAAGGAAUUCCCAUCUCAGACACACUGGGAACAGUUCAGCUGCUGUGAACACAAUGGUGAGGGUACCAGAUGGAGGGGCAGAAGCACCUCCCUGCCACCACCGGCUCUGUCUGAGGGCAAACCCAGCAGUCAGUGCCAGAGCAGAUUCCUGCCCCAUUCCCAGCUGCAUUCCCCACGGGAUCUCUCCUGGCAGCCCCUCCUCAGCCCUUUGCCCUCCCUGGUCACCUCUGCUCCCUGAAGGAACGGGACCAAGGUCACUCCGAACCGGCUCCUGCUCGCUUCGGGCACAGCCCCACCGCUCUUAAUCCCUCCUGUCGGUUAUUGCGCAAUCGCUGAGUUACUCGAACAGGAAGGAAGAGGCUGGAACACCCAACCUACACUCGAACACCGCAACGAGGUGUUUUGGUAAAUCAAAAGUGUUGCAAACGUGAAGAAACUUCACUUGCUCCUGGAAAUUAAUCCUGGAACGUGCUCUUUUUUCCACUUCUGCUCUUCCCACUUCAGCUCCCAGCGCUUCAGUGUGGUGAGGUGAUCAGAUCCCAGCAUGGUCCAACAUCACUAACUCAUUCCUAAAAAGAAAUUAUUAGUUAUUUAUAAGUUAUUAAUUAUUUCAUAGAAUUAUCACAGAAU